GUCUAUGGCCAUACCACCCUGAAUGCACCCUAUCUUUUCUGAUCUUGGAAGAUAAGCAGGGUCAGGCCUGGUUACUACUUGGAUGGGAGAAAAACAUCUUUUUCAUUCUGUGGGAAGAUGAAUUACUAAACA
Molecule: ribosomal RNA, 132 nt
Organism: Otolemur garnettii (small-eared galago)
Lineage: Eukaryota; Metazoa; Chordata; Mammalia; Primates; Galagidae
Source: Ensembl